AAAAACAUCGCCUCUUGCCAAUAAUAAGAGGUCCAGCCUGCCCAGUGAAAAUUAAACGGCCGCGGUACCCUAACCGCGCAAAGGUAGCAUAAUCACUUGUUCCUUAAAUAGGGACCAGUAUCAACGGCACCACGAGGGUCGCACUGUCUCCACUCUCCAAUCAGUGAAACUGAUCUUUCCGUGAAGAAGCGGAAAUAAAAUUAUAAGACGAGAAGACCCCAUGGAGCUUUAAACCUUAAACAACUUAAUAUAAUAUUUCCUCAAUAAUUAUAAGCCUUGCCUAAUGGUUUUAGGUUGGGGCGACCACGGAGUAAAAACCAACCUCCACGACGAAAUAGGACCUAAUCCUUAUCCAAGAGCCACCCCUCCAAGAAUUAGAAUACUAACGCACAUGACCCGAUAAUCGAUCAACGAACCAAGUUACCCUGGGGAUAACAGCGCAAUCUACUUCAAGAGCCCAUAUCGACAAGUAGGCUUACGACCUCGAUGUUGGAUCAGGGUAUCCUAGUGGUGCAGCCGCUACUAAUGGUUCGUUUGUUCAACGAUUAAAACCCUACGUGAUCU
This 564-nucleotide ribosomal RNA is filed under the name Philautus thamyridion. Its description in RNAcentral is "partial 16S ribosomal RNA". It matches the Rfam family "Bacterial large subunit ribosomal RNA", at positions 1809 to 2606 of the family's 2925-position model. The record is from RNAcentral. Lineage: Eukaryota; Metazoa; Chordata; Amphibia; Anura; Rhacophoridae.